This 592-nucleotide long non-coding RNA is filed under the name Chloebia gouldiae (Gouldian finch). RNAcentral's name for it is "Erythrura gouldiae (Gouldian finch) lncRNA (ENSEGOG00005000338.1)". Lineage: Eukaryota; Metazoa; Chordata; Aves; Passeriformes; Passeridae. The record is from RNAcentral.
AUUCCUUUAAAAAUGCCCACUGAGGUGACACAGGCACAAAGCAGACGCAGCCUACACAACCCUGAAUGACAAGCCCCCAUGUGUGAUAGGUAGUGAAAACGUCCUCCUCAGUGAAACCCAGAUUAUUUCACAGAAGCACCUCCAGAAAAAAAAACAGAAUGUUGUUCCAGACAGGAAAAUCAAGGUAUGUGAUUUAUCUGUGUCUGGCCUGCCUCUCCCGUGCUCUUACCCCACCUUUAUUCUUCCUUGUAUUCUUUCUUUCUUAGGCUUGUAAACUCAAGGUGUUGAGGGAGGAGAAGGCUGGCUGAACUUUCAUUUCCUGCAAGGGUUUCCUGUAUGAUGUAACAAUGAGAGUGGGAGCAGCAAACAGCUCCUCAAGCAUUAACUGUGUCAGGAUGUUUGAGAUUGUGCAAAGCAAAUGGUACUCAGAGGCUCGAAGCAAAGUUUUUCUCCAUCGAUUUUUCAAUGAGGAUGAAGAGUCACACAAAGAAUGCACAAACUGAUUACCCGUGUAAUCAGUACUUACCUACUCACAGAAAUCAGAGGUCUAUGGACAAUCAAUAUGGAUGCCAACUACACUGUUUUUCAUUAG